This 401-nucleotide ribosomal RNA is filed under the name uncultured bacterium. Its description in RNAcentral is "bacterial SSU rRNA". It matches the Rfam family "Bacterial small subunit ribosomal RNA", at positions 356 to 773 of the family's 1533-position model. The record is from RNAcentral.
GGGGAAUCUUGCGCAAUGGGCGAAAGCCUGACGCAGCAACGCCGCGUGCGGGAUGAAGGCCUUCGGGUUGUAAACCGCUUUCAGCAGGAACGAAAAUGACGGUACCUGCAGAAGAAGGUCCGGCCAACUACGUGCCAGCAGCCGCGGUAACACGUAGGGGCCAAGCGUUGUCCGGAUUUAUUGGGCGUAAAGAGCUCGUAGGCGGUUCGGUAAGUCGGGUGUGAAAACUCUGGGCUCAACCCAGAGACGCCACCCGAUACUGCUGUGACUAGAGUCCGGUAGGGGAGUGGGGAAUUCCUGGUGUAGCGGUGAAAUGCACAGAUAUCAGGAGGAACACCGGUGGCGAAGGCGCCACUCUGGGCCGGUACUGACGCUGAGGAGCGAAAGCGUGGGUAGCAAAC